RNAcentral lists this ribosomal RNA (454 nucleotides) under uncultured bacterium. RNAcentral describes it as "partial 16S ribosomal RNA". It matches the Rfam family "Bacterial small subunit ribosomal RNA", at positions 28 to 507 of the family's 1533-position model. The record is from RNAcentral.
GAUGAACGCUGACAGAAUGCUUAACACAUGCAAGUCAACUUGAACUUCGGUUUGGGUGGCGGACGGGUGAGUAACGCGUAAAGAACUUGCCUCACAGCUAGGGACAACAUUUGGAAACGAAUGCUAAUACCUGAUAUUAUGAUUAUAUGGCAUCGUAUAAUUAUGAAAGCUAUAUGCGCUGUGAGAGAGCUUUGCGUCCCAUUAGCUAGUUGGAGAGGUAACAGCUCACCAAGGCGAUGAUGGGUAGCCGGCCUGAGAGGGUGAUCGGCCACAAGGGGACUGAGGCACGACCCUUGCGGCUACGGGGGGCAGCAGUGGAAAAUUUAGGAAGAAGUGCCGAGAGUGUGAAGCAGCAAUUCUGGGUGCACGAUAAAGUUUUUCGGAAUGAAAAGUUCUUUCAGUUGAGAAGAAGAAAAUGACGGUACCAACAGAAGAAGUGACGGCUAAAUACGUG